Molecule: transfer RNA, 63 nt
Filed under: Olivierus martensii (Chinese scorpion)
Lineage: Eukaryota; Metazoa; Arthropoda; Arachnida; Scorpiones; Buthidae
Description: Mesobuthus martensii (Chinese scorpion) tRNA-Leu
Source: RNAcentral
CUCAAUGUAGCAAAUUUCAUGCAAUGGAUUUAAGCUCCAUAAAUAGAGUUCCUCUCUUUGAGA